Molecule: long non-coding RNA, 1052 nt
Filed under: Homo sapiens (human)
Lineage: Eukaryota; Metazoa; Chordata; Mammalia; Primates; Hominidae
Description: non-protein coding DIRC3-AS1:14
Source: RNAcentral
AGAGCACUGUUGACAAUGUCUGCCUUCACUUGGAAUUCAGCACCUGCUUUCAGUAUAAACCCCUGCAUUUCACUAAAACUGAGCAGACUGCUGGUUUAAAAAAGAGAGGUCCAUCCAGCAGGGAUGAUGCUUUUCCUCGUUGAAAGAGGACAUUCACCUAAUGGGAGACCUGGAGUCAGAAUCUUUCUGAUGUGUGACUUGGCACAGUAACACAAUGCAGGAUGCUGGUGUGUUAAUAAAAAUAAAAAUUGCAUCGCCUACCUCAGAGUCGACAACAAUGUCAAGGAGUUAAUAGUCUUGGCAACACAGAGGCCACUGGACAGAGGCAUAACCUUGCGUGGCAGCUGCACGGGAAUUGGAUUUGGCUCAGGUGUUUCAGAUGACUAAGAACAAAGGGGACCACUCUUGGUAUAGAAGUUCAUCUCGUCGGGAGCAUCUGUGGUUCUUUUAUAAGCAAUGUACAUUCUACAAUAGAGGCAGACCCAGAAAUAAUUCAGAUAUUGGAGUUAGAAGAUCAGGAUUCUAAAAAAACCAAAAGAUCCUGCCUUACUAUGCACCUAUGGCCCUUCAAAGGCGAGAGUAGAAUCUGCUAUGAUUUAGAAGCAAGCAAUAAAAAGUACACAUCAGCCCCACGGACUGGCAUGAGACUCAGGCCUGGCCAACUGAAUGUCACACACCUAUGACCAUCAGUUGGCUCAGAGAUGGACUCAGGACACCAUCACAGCCAAUGAAACCCUGUUAGGGAAAUUUGUCAGAACCAUACAAAGAAAUAGCUCCACUUUUCCAUAGAGAUGAGACAUAAGCCUGGACUAACUGGUGUCCAAUUUGCCAUCAAGAGAGCAUCUGAGAAGACAGAGGAAAACUGGGGAAAGCGAAGUCUAAGGAAGGUGAGUAAGGACAAGUCCAGUUGAUAUUACAUGAAUCACCUGGACCUGGAAAUCAAGGCAUUGCUGGAUUCAAGGCCAAGAAAAAUUGGAAGCUGGCUUGAAUCAGGUUCUAUCACUUGCAGUUGAAAAGGUCCAGACUAAUAUGAUAACAAAGGAGCAAGUAAG